AUCUGGAAUGGGGCCAGCCCAGCCCCGGCCUGACAAAUAAAAAUAGGCACAGGCAGUUUCAAAGGCUGGAAAGCAGCAGGAAAGCAGCAGCUCAGGAACCAGACUGAAGUUGUGAGACUUUGUUAUUUCCCAGACACUGGAAGUAGGACCCCGCUCACCCCAGAUCUGCAUUCCCAGCCCAGAUGGCUCCCAGGCCCAGUUUGGAACACCAGUGGAAGGCUGCAAAAUGAGACCAAAACCUUGGGAAAAGGUGGAGCAAUCACACGUUCGUGCAGCAGAACUCCUUACUCCACUUUGCUCGCUGCUCUGCCAACGCUUCCUCCUGAAUUUUGGAGGGCCAUACACACCAGAAACUUGGGCUUAAUUAAUGAACCUGUUUCUUGCAAGACACUAUGAAAUUUUGAUAUGGGAUAUUUUAUCUUUUUUACACUUUAAAGCAAUUUUGCUUGCCUGCCUUCAGUUUUACUUAUCCACAUUUCUGUCCUUCCCGGUGCUGGAAAUGGUUCUGACCUCCUGUGACUCUCAAAGAUUGUCAUCUUAAAGAAUCUGGGUCCUCCACCAAGUCUGGUAUCUUUUCCAGUUAUUUCAGCAAA
Long non-coding RNA from Vidua chalybeata, 593 nucleotides. RefSeq lists it as uncharacterized. Lineage: Eukaryota; Metazoa; Chordata; Aves; Passeriformes; Viduidae. The record is from RefSeq and is a predicted model, not a curated record. The transcript is spliced from 4 exons.